AGCUCCAAUAGCGUAUAUUAAAGUUGUUGCGGUUAAAAGCUCGUAGUUGGAUUUCUGUUGAGAACUGCCGGUCCGCCUCUUGGGCGUGUAUCUGGAUAGGUCUCGGCAUCCUCGUAAGAGACAUUGUUGCGCUUGACUGCGUGAUGUGGAUCUUGCGACUUUUACUUUGAGGAAAUUAGAGUGUUCACGGCAGGCAAGCGCCUUGAAUACAUUAGCAUGGAAUAAUGAUAUAGGAUCUCGGUCUUAUUUUGUUGGUUUCUAGGGCUGAGAUAAUGAUUAAUAGGGACAAUUGGGGGCAUUCGUACUAAUGCGUCAGAGGUGAAAUUCUUGGAUUGCAUUAUGACGAACUACUGCGAAAGCAUUUGCCAAGGAUGUUUUCA
RNAcentral lists this ribosomal RNA (380 nucleotides) under uncultured eukaryote. Its description in RNAcentral is "SSU rRNA". It matches the Rfam family "Eukaryotic small subunit ribosomal RNA", at positions 587 to 972 of the family's 1831-position model. The record is from RNAcentral.